RNAcentral lists this ribosomal RNA (657 nucleotides) under Rhizobium leguminosarum. RNAcentral's name for it is "bacterial SSU rRNA". It matches the Rfam family "Bacterial small subunit ribosomal RNA", at positions 1 to 743 of the family's 1533-position model. The record is from RNAcentral. Lineage: Bacteria; Pseudomonadati; Pseudomonadota; Alphaproteobacteria; Hyphomicrobiales; Rhizobiaceae.
UAGAGUUUGAUCCUGGCUCAGAACGAACGCUGGCGGCAGGCUUAACACAUGCAAGUCGAACGCCCCGCAAGGGGAGUGGCAGACGGGUGAGUAACGCGUGGGAACAUACCCUUUCCUGCGGAAUAGCUCCGGGAAACUGGAAUUAAUACCGCAUACGCCCUACGGGGGAAAGAUUUAUCGGGGAAGGAUUGGCCCGCGUUGGAUUAGCUAGUUGGUGGGGUAAAGGCCUACCAAGGCGACGAUCCAUAGCUGGUCUGAGAGGAUGAUCAGCCACAUUGGGACUGAGACACGGCCCAAACUCCUACGGGAGGCAGCAGUGGGGAAUAUUGGACAAUGGGCGCAAGCCUGAUCCAGCCAUGCCGCGUGAGUGAUGAAGGCCUUAGGGUUGUAAAGCUCUUUCACCGAUGAAGAUAAUGACGGUAGUCGGAGAAGAAGCCCCGGCUAACUUCGUGCCAGCAGCCGCGGUAAUACGAAGGGGGCUAGCGUUGUUCGGAAUUACUGGGCGUAAAGCGCACGUAGGCGGAUAUUUAAGUCAGGGGUGAAAUCCCGCAGCUCAACUGCGGAACUGCCUUUCUUGAGUAUGGAAGAGGUAAGUGGAAGGAGAAAUCGAUAUUCGGAGGAACACCAGUGCAAGGCGGCUUACGGUCCAUUAGCUAA